Long non-coding RNA from Betta splendens (Siamese fighting fish), 407 nucleotides. RefSeq lists it as uncharacterized. NCBI's taxonomy places the organism in Eukaryota, Metazoa, Chordata, Actinopteri, Anabantiformes, Osphronemidae. The record is from RefSeq and is a predicted model, not a curated record. The transcript has 3 exons.
GGAGCUGGCGCCGGUGGGUGGGGCAUCAAGUCGAACCAGUAGCAGAGCUCCGAGACUGGUGGGGGCGUGGACUGCGUAUUCUGCCUGGCAACAGUCAGACGUUAAUACAUCAAACGUUAUAGGCUUCGCGUGUGAGAAAGCGGUGUGACUGACAGAUCUCUCAGCCAAUAGGAUGCGUCUGCUGGCUGCUCUGCUCCCAACUAACUGGAUGAUGGUUCGAUGGGCAUCACCGGACAGAAACAGGCGCUCGUGAUAUAUGACUACGCGGUAUAUCACCAUGGUCUGUCAAGAAGAGGCCGCUGUUUUAAUAAUGAACUACCAAACCAACCUAAAAAAAAUGUGUUGUAGGCUGAUUUAGUCUACUUGAAUAAACCAGGUGAGGCAAUUUGUACUUCACCUCGAGUGAG